Molecule: long non-coding RNA, 552 nt
Organism: Rhineura floridana
Lineage: Eukaryota; Metazoa; Chordata; Lepidosauria; Squamata; Rhineuridae
Exons: 3
Source: RefSeq, a predicted model, not a curated record
UGCAGUGGUAAAUAAAUCUUCUGGUUAAGAAGGACAUGGGAAGCUGUCCUAAUGUUUACAAUCAUGUACUCAAGAAGGGAAUUAAAUCACCAACAAGGCACUAACAUAAGACAAUGAUGAGGUUUGCUUUCUAUAUGGCACACAUGAAAAGUAGAAAGCACUCUCUGAGUCAAGAGAAAGAUAGAAAGAGGACUAUCAUUAGAUGCAACCCUAGGACUGGAUGUAGGAAGCACAUCUCAACAGUCUGCACUGGAUACUGAUGAACAUGUGAAUUGUGGCAGUGUCUGCUCCCAUGUCCAUUUCUGAUGGAAUGCUCUGACAUCCCUACCCUGGGGAGUAAGCGUCCAUUGAACUUAGUGAUGCCUAUCUUUGACUUUACAACACAUGACAUCAUCGCUCCUGCUCUGAAGACUCCCCAAAACUACAUUCCCUUGCAUCCCCCCUUCACUAUACCACUUUGGUGGUGUAGCUUUGGGAGUGGAGAGGCUAGGAUUGAGAAAUCGGAGGCUUCCUGAGGAUAUCAAGAAAACUGAGUGAAAACAGAAAAAAACC